UUAGGCGUGUUGUGUGUAAUUAGGCGAUAUAAUGUUCAAGAAUUAAUGUACCCAAAAAAAUGUUCAAGAAUUAACAAGGUUCUAAAACAAAGAGAAAUUUGGUGGAGAAACUAUUGAAAAGGUAACGGAGGAAACAAACUGUUGGAUUACAGAUAGUGAGUGGGAAUUGAAGACAAUUGGUGAUGGAUAGAAACUGUUUAGAGACGAGGCGGAGAGUGACUUCAAGUGGCGGCAGUUGUUACUAUUGCCGUUGUUGAGGAAUUUGAAGACAAAUUUCACACUGUCAUCAUAAACAAUUAUUGUUUUUUUUUUUGAAAAAGCGG
RNAcentral lists this long non-coding RNA (323 nucleotides) under Trifolium pratense (red clover). RNAcentral's name for it is "long non-coding RNA (TPRA_LNC006490)". The record is from RNAcentral. Lineage: Eukaryota; Viridiplantae; Streptophyta; Magnoliopsida; Fabales; Fabaceae.